This 4436-nucleotide unclassified non-coding RNA is filed under the name Acromyrmex echinatior (Panamanian leafcutter ant). RNAcentral's name for it is "uncharacterized LOC105148068, transcript variant X5". The record is from RNAcentral. Lineage: Eukaryota; Metazoa; Arthropoda; Insecta; Hymenoptera; Formicidae.
AUCGGGCGGCUGAGGGAGAGAUCGCCGGGAAGUAACGUGGCUGCGCGACGAACAGGGCCAAAGCACAGGAUACGAAGAUAGCCGAGCACGACCGAGGUCGCGAGCGUCGACCGAAUGAGUCUCUCUCUCCCUCUCUCUAUUUCUCUCUCUCUCUCUCUCUUUCUACUUGUCAGCGCUCGGGUCCAGUACUUCAGUACGUGCACAGCGGCCGGCCGGCGUGCAUAGUUGUUGAUAGUAGUGUCGUGUGUUCUUGAAAUCGAGCGCUUUUUUCGCGCGAAAUCGCUCCUCUGCCGUGGUUAUUUUUACCAAUGUCCGUACGAAACGAGAGCUAAACUCGACGAUCAGACGACGUCGUCUUUGUGCUCCGAACGGCGCCGGGCCUCAGGGCCCGGUCGCUCUCGUUUCCACUUAGGUCGACUCCGGGAAGCAUGCGAUUAUGGAGCUUGCAGGCUCCCGGGGACAAACCGGCUGCGAUGUCUGCACGGGCGUUACCCUUCGACGGCAGUUUCCCUCGUGUAAUUAUCGUCGCGAGUCGCACGACGAAAGUCAGUACUUCCUCAAAUCAACGAAGGUAUAUUCUCGAGAAAAGAGAGAGGAAGCAAGAGAUAGAAUACAAGAGAGAGAAAGAAGGAAACACACAAAGCAUCAUCGUGUCGAAGGGUCAAACUGUGCCAAGAUAGCAUUACGAGACAAAUAAAAAAUCCUGACCAGAGAGCUUCAGCAAAAAAAAAAAAUCAAGAAAAAUACUCAUUUGAUUGAUUGUCAUAUGAGAUUAAUUGAGAAGAAUUGCCUAAAUUCUUGCAUUCGCAAUUUCUCGAGUUACUGUCCAAUCUUCUAUGAUCUUUGCAUCAAUUGCAUCGCGUAGAUGACACGCGCUGCCAUCGUAGCGUUGUGUUGAGAGUGCAAAUUUUUGUGGAGUAAAAAAAAAUAGAUGCAAUAGGCAUUGACAAGUACGAGUUUGACGAGAAUUGGGAGUACAAAAGUGUGCGUAGAAAAGCGUGCUUCGGAGGGGACGCAAUGACGCGAGGAAGAAACAUAUGAAGAGGAGAUGAAGAAAGGAUUUGGCGAAGUAAAGUAGAAAAAGUGCGAGAGCAGCGGCAGAUACACGAAACUGGCGACCCAAGCACGUGACAGCGGCUCCCGUGGGUCUCGGACCCGCCGCCGAGCCAAUGGUGGGUCGCUCUCCAGCCGGGGCAGCACCACAGAGAUGCAAUGCGGUCUGUGCGCCGUCGUCGCUGGUCUGUUCCGCCGGGCUAUGUGUAUUGCAGGCAGUCGACGCGGCUCCGGAGAAUCCUGUUAUCAGGAACUGGCCACGGAUAUGCAGGAGCGACGACCCUCGCAGGUGGAAGAUGCAGAAAUUGAGCUCAUUAAAGCAAGCGAAAUCGUGAAGAGAGUGAAAAACGUUCAAGCGGAAGAGAGGCGGACUGACGAGGUAACGGUGGACAGCGAGGAACAGAAUGCGGUGUUUGUGUGUAUUUCCGAUAGCAGCUUAUUUCGUAAUUCUGGUACAUCGACUACGUUACCAGAAGUCCGUGAUGGAUUAUCUACGGCGGAAGCAGCAUUCAGACGUUUAUCGGAUGCGGAACAAAUUCUGCUGGAGAGUUUGGACAUCGAUCAAUAUAGACCCAGGCACACUGGCCGAUUUCUGACGAUGCAUAAAAGACGACGUAAGAAGCUUACUACCAGAUCCUUGAAUCAGGAACCAGGUAUCUUGGACGAUAUCUUUCACGGACUGGUACAGUGCGUGUUGCAAAGAGCUGGAAACUGGCGCUUUAAUGCUUUCACGCUGGAAACAGUCACAGGUGGUCGUUCGCUGCCGGUAUUAUGUGUCCACCUCUUCCAUUGUUAUGGUCUUUUUCAAUACUUCAGUUUGGAUGUUGUAACAGUAUGGAAAUUAUUUGCUUUUAUCGAGGAGGGUUAUCACAGUACAAAUCCUUACCACAACAGUAUACAUGCGACGGAUGUCACUCAGGCAAUGCAUUGCUUUCUCCAAGAAAAAAAGAUUAAAACACAUCUAACCAAUUUAGAAAUUAUGGCUUCCUUGAUAGCGGCUGUAACGCAUGACUUAGAUCAUCCGGGUGUUAAUCAACCGUUUUUGGUCGCAACGAGUAAUCAUUUAGCUGCGCUUUAUCAGAAUACUUCUGUUCUCGAAAAUCAUCACUGGAGAUCAGCUAUAGGAUGUCUUCUAGAAAGCGGUGUCUCGGCACAAUUACCAGCCGACGUAAGACCAGAACUUCAACGGCAUAUCAGUUCAUUGAUCUUAGCAACAGAUAUUACAAGACAACAAGAAUUUCUUACGCGUUUUAGGGAUUAUUUGAGCAACAAUUCACUUGAAAUGAAACGCGAGGAAGAUCGUCAUUUCAUCCUACAAAUUGCUCUAAAAUGCGCAGAUAUUUCCAAUCCGUGCAGACCGUGGGAUAUAUCUAGGAAAUGGUCUUACAAGGUUUGCGAAGAGUUUUUCAGACAGGGCGAUUACGAGCGUCGUUUAAAUCUUCCAGUAACGCCAUUAUGUGAUCGACAUACCACUAGCAUCCCAAAAAUCCAAGCUGGUUUUUUCAAACACGUCGUUACGCCUCUCUACGUAGAAUGGCAUCGUUUUCUCGGUGAUGGUUUGAGUGUGUCAUUAAUGGAAUAUUUAAAGAUGAAUCAGAAAAAAUGGGAAUCACUGAUUAACCAAGAGAUAACUGAAGAAAAAGAAACCGACAUUUCUGAAUUUAAUGAACCUGAAGGAGUCAUUAGUUCGGGCGAAGAAACGGCCGCUGAUGAAGAUUCGGGCAGUAUUGAUCUGCUGAUACCAGCAACUUAUGUGCAAACAGCGCGAAUGCCGACAUUGCCAGGACGAGUUGGACUCGAUCGCGUUGGUAGACGUCAUUCCGUUCCUUUAAGUGUAUCGAAAUCAUUGUACUUACCUUUAACCCAGCCCAAUAGAAGAGAAAGUAUGCCGAUCGAACAAGCCAAAGCGAAAAAUCAAUUCUGGAAGAUAGAAGAUCAAAAUUUAUUGGGGCCGAGUUCAUUGUCUCUAUUGUCUUCCAAAAGUAAUAUGAGCGAGUCAAAUGUUAGUGUUGUCGAGAGACCAGUUAGCGCAGAGAAUCUCUUACCAGAGACAAGUAUAGCCAGUAUUACGAGCAGCACCGAAGCAUCGAGAUUAAAUACAGUUCUGCAAUCGAAUAAUCAGUACAACGCGCAAACUAAACAACUUAUACGACAACAGACUUUCCCUCCGUUGCAACCAAGUACAAGAAUGAGGUAUAUGUCUGCGACUGCGGAAAUGUCACAAUGUUACAUUCAGACAUUGCUGGAAACUGACAAUUCCUUUAGUUGCUCGACUCAUACGAAAGAAAAAUCAUGUCCAAGCGGUCGGUACUGUUCACACGAUCCUAAUUCACGUCAUCAAAAGAAAUCCAGCAUAAGUCCUCUUUCUAAAGAAUUACCGACGGAUAUAUCUGUCAAAAAACAAGGCUCGACCUUGUUGGAUACAACAAAACAGAAACAUACUGUCAAUUCCAUGCGUCGCCAUUCUAUACAGACUGUUCGCACUGAUGAUUCUUUUUCUAAACAUAGAUAUAAAAGGCCUUCUUCCGCUCAAGAUCCAGAUUCCACGCAAAUGUUCUAUGCUGCGUUAACGGGUUCUUACAGUGACAAAAACAAAUGUGUUCCUGACAUGUACAUUGCGGAAUGUAAGUCGAAUUUAGAUUGCAACACCGAAUUUAAAUGUCAUGAUGCGAAAUUAACAGUUCAAGAACUGCAAACUACGUUGUUGCCCAAAAAAUUAGAUCAAUCUACUUCAUCGACUUUGAGCGCAUAUUCUGCACAAGAACCGCGAAGAUAUUCAACUUCUGUCACAGAAUGUAAAACGAUAACGGUCGAUCAUGCAGGUAGACGAUAUACCACGAUACCCGUGUCUUCUGAGCUUAGCACUCACAAAGUGUUCUUUAUCGGUAGUCCUCCUGAUUCGCCUCCUAAUCAUAGUGUAUCUUCAUCGAGUGACAGUGGUAGUGAGCCAAAAAGAAGUAUCGAUGAUUCGAGUAAGGAAGCUAGUGUUAUCAUUGGCAAUAGAAAGGAAUUGGAUAAUGUGAAAGAAAAAAAUUCGAAGAGUUCAAAGUUCAAUUCCGAUGCGCAAAUGAAGGAAAAUGUUGAUCCCCGAACGAAUGACGACGUCGCUAAAGCAUCAUCUCGUAGAGGCAAUCAGUUGCAUAUAUUGUUAUCAAUAUUGAAUUCAGGGAUGGGCAAAAAGACGCGGAUCAGCUCCAGUUGGUCUUCUAUCAAAAUUGGACGAUUUUACUUCAACGAAUAUAUCUACCAGAGUUGAUCAUAAUUGCAGACGUGGAUCAGUACCAACUGAUAUUACUAAACAUCAAGGUGGAAGUUGUAACCGGUUAACUCUAGGAUAUCGAGGAGACAAUUUUUCGGAUCUACGAAGAUCUAGUCUUCCGCAA